RNAcentral lists this unclassified non-coding RNA (177 nucleotides) under soil metagenome. RNAcentral's name for it is "partial internal transcribed spacer 1". The record is from RNAcentral.
CUGAGUUACCGCUCAUCAACCCUUUGUGAACAUACCUUAACUGUUGCUCCGGCGGGUAGGCGUCCCCUAAAAAGGACGCCUCCCGGCCCUCUCCCGUCCGCGGGUGGGGCGCCCGCCGGAGGAUAACCAAACUCUGAUUUAACGACGUUUCUUCUGAGUGACACAAGCAAAUAAUCA